UUUGCAUUUGACAAGGGCUGCUUCUCUUUUCCUCCAUUUAUAUAUUUACUUUUGUAAUAUUUUUUCUUUUCUCUAUAUCACAGACCAACCAAGAAGAGAAACACCCAGAAACCCAAUUUUGAGAUCUGAUUGGUGAGUUUUAACUGAGGUCAUGGACCUCCAGAAAAGUGGAGUUCUUGCUGGACUUCUGGUGCUGCUUUUACCUCUUCUUUUGCCUGGUUUGUUUAGCCUAUUGAGCCAUGCCUCCCCUUCUGCAUUCUCGGAAUGGAAUGUUCAAAAACCUAGGCACUUAUCUCUAGUGAAGAGUGCUUCGCAGCGUGAGACUUCACAUGAAAAGCAGUCUGAUCUCUGGGUCCCUUUGGCCGAUCAAGGAUGGAGGCCAUGUGUUGA
RNAcentral lists this unclassified non-coding RNA (390 nucleotides) under Hevea brasiliensis (rubber tree). The record is from RNAcentral. Lineage: Eukaryota; Viridiplantae; Streptophyta; Magnoliopsida; Malpighiales; Euphorbiaceae.